AUAACAAUACAGGACUCUUUCGAGGCUCUGUAAUUGGAAUGAGUACACUUUAAAUCCUUUAACGAGGAUCUAUUGCCUGCUGCUGCUCGCACAGUCUCUCCAGCAUGUGCAA
Non-coding RNA from Pelobates cultripes (western spadefoot toad), 112 nucleotides. The record is from the annotation of a GenBank genome assembly. NCBI's taxonomy places the organism in Eukaryota, Metazoa, Chordata, Amphibia, Anura, Pelobatidae.